This 520-nucleotide ribosomal RNA is filed under the name uncultured Glomus. RNAcentral's name for it is "SSU rRNA". It matches the Rfam family "Eukaryotic small subunit ribosomal RNA", at positions 569 to 1091 of the family's 1831-position model. The record is from RNAcentral. Lineage: Eukaryota; Fungi; Glomeromycota; Glomeromycetes; Glomerales; Glomeraceae.
AGCAGCCGCGGUAAUUCCAGCUCCAAUAGCGUAUAUUAAAGUUGUUGCAGUUAAAAAGCUCGUAGUUGAAUUUCGGGAUCAAAUUGUCGGUCGUGCCUCGGUACGUACUAGCGCUAUUGGUUCCUCCCUUCUGAAGAACCGCGAUGUCAUUAAUUUGGUGUCGCGGGGAAUCAGGACUGUUACUUUGAAAAAAUUAGAGUGUUUAAAGCAGGCUCGCGCUUGAAUACAUUAGCAUGGAAUAAUGAAAUAGGACGUUUGAUUCUAUUUUGUUGGUUUCUAGGAUCGACGUAAUGAUUAAUAGGGAUAGUUGGGGGCAUUAGUAUUCAAUUGUCAGAGGUGAAAUUCUUGGAUUUAUUGAAGACUAACUACUGCGAAAGCAUUUGCCAAGGAUGUUUUCAUUAAUCAAGAACGAAAGUUAGGGGAUCGAAGACGAUCAGAUACCGUCGUAGUCUUAACCAUAAACUAUGCCGACUAGGGAUCGGAUGAUGUUAAUUUUUUAAUGACUCAUUCGGCGCCUUAC